UACGUAGGGGGCAAGCGUUGUCCGGAAUCAUUGGGCGUAAAGCGCGUGUAGGCGGCUCGGUAAGUCCGCUCUGAAAGUCCAAGGCUCAACCUUGGGAUGCGGGUGGAUACUGCCGGGCUCGAGUCCGGAAGAGGCGAGUGGAAUUCCUGGUGUAGCGGUGAAAUGCGCAGAUAUCAGGAGGAACACCAAUGGCGAAGGCAGCUCGCUGGGACGUGACUGACGCUGAGACGCGAAAGCGUGAGGAGUAAACAGG
This 253-nucleotide ribosomal RNA is filed under the name uncultured bacterium. Its description in RNAcentral is "partial 16S ribosomal RNA". It matches the Rfam family "Bacterial small subunit ribosomal RNA", at positions 524 to 776 of the family's 1533-position model. The record is from RNAcentral.